UACGAAGGGGGCUAGCGUUGUUCGGAAUUACUGGGCGUAAGGCGCACGUAGGCGGAUUGUUAAGUCGGGGGUGAAAUCCUGGAGCUCAACUUCAGAAUUGCCUUCGAUACUGGCUUUCUAGAGGCUGGAAGAGGUUAGUGGAAUUCCCAGUGUAGAGGUGAAAUUCGUAGAUAUUGGGAAGAACACAGUGGCGAAGGCGGCUAACUGGUCCAGAUCUGACGCUGAGGUGCGAAAGCGUGGGGAGCAAACAGG
RNAcentral lists this ribosomal RNA (252 nucleotides) under uncultured bacterium. RNAcentral describes it as "partial 16S ribosomal RNA". It matches the Rfam family "Bacterial small subunit ribosomal RNA", at positions 524 to 776 of the family's 1533-position model. The record is from RNAcentral.